GAUGAAGAACGUAGCGAAAUGCGAUAAGUAAUGUGAAUUGCAGAAUUCAGUGAAUCAUCGAAUCUUUGAACGCACAUUGCGCCCGCCAGUAUUCUGGCGGGCAUGCCUGUUCGAGCGUCAUUUCAACCAUCAAGCCCCAGGCUUGUGUUGGGGACCUGCGGCUGCCGCAGGCCCUGAAAACCAGUGGCGGGCUCGCUGUCACACCGGGCGUAGUAGAUUUUAUCUCGCUCAGGGCGUGCUGCGGGUUCCGGCCGUUAAAAAGCCUUUUUUACCCAAGGUUGACCUCGGAUCAGGUAGGAAGACCCGCUGAAUUUAAGCAUAUCAAUAAGCGGAGGA
This 336-nucleotide unclassified non-coding RNA is filed under the name soil metagenome. RNAcentral's name for it is "partial contains 5.8S ribosomal RNA, internal transcribed spacer 2, and large subunit ribosomal RNA". The stretch from base 1 to 120 matches the Rfam family "5.8S ribosomal RNA", at positions 35 to 154 of the family's 154-position model. The record is from RNAcentral.